Molecule: long non-coding RNA, 1074 nt
Filed under: Monodelphis domestica (gray short-tailed opossum)
Lineage: Eukaryota; Metazoa; Chordata; Mammalia; Didelphimorphia; Didelphidae
Description: lncRNA (ENSMODG00000039039.1)
Source: RNAcentral
GAGAAAUUUUAGGUUAAGAAACAUGUUACCUCUCCGAAUCCAGAAACUGAAAUGUUUGGAGAAGACACCAUGAAGAUGCCUCCACAGACCACAAGCUGCAUGAGAAGAUCAAGAAUGAACUUUGGGUGUGGUUGAUUGAACAUUUAUUUGGACAUGUGACAGAGAAUUACAUGAGAUCCUGGGCCAAGAUUCUAAGGUCCCAACUGAAAAAAACAAGACUUCUGGGAGAAGCUUUGGGAGUUAGCUGUGUUCCAUCUUUCUACAAGAUUUCUGGCCCUUUGUGAGAUACCAGCUUGAGAGGAGAAAAAUUGCUUGAACUGGCUGCUGGCAGCUGGACAAAAGACCAGAGAAGAAUCAUCACUUCUAUGCUGGAUCUACCUUGAAUUUUACCUCUGGGAUCUUGGCUCAUUUACUGGAUUUUGUUUUGUGAGAUUCUGUUUGGGGAAACAACUUAUUUAGCCUAGAGAAGUUAGCCAUUAGGAUAUUAAUAAGGGAAUUUAUAUUUGGGGAUAAGAUUAAGAACAUUUCCUUCUCCUUUGCUACUAUCCUUCCUCUAUCAUUCCCAUCAAUAACUUAAACUAUUUAGAUGUUUCCCUCUUGUCUCUUUCCCUUAAACAAUCCCAUAAUAACAAAUAUCAACCAGCAAGAAUGGAUUAACCCACUAAAAUCAGUAAAUAAUAAUUUUGGUUUCUUUUCUGUAUAAUAUUUCAAUCAAAACCACUGAGGAAGAGAGAAUAUCUCUUUGGAAGGAUAAUAAGACAUUCAUCUUUUCCAAAACUCUCUAAGGAAUAUGACAUCUUCUUGCAUCAACAUUUAUUUUUUCCUCUUUUUCCUUUUCCUUUUUUUUUAAACACAUGAGGAUAAGAAACUGUUAGAAUUUUUUCUUAUACUGUAUUCAUUCUUGUAUAUUAGGGAGAAUUACUGUGUAUUCUUGAGUCUGGGAUCUGGGUCAGAGAUACCAUCCAGUCUGCUGCUUCUUGUGUUUUCUUUGUUCUUGGGAAUCCCAAGAAAUGUUUUUCUUUUUAAUAGAAUUUGGCUAAUAAAUAAAAGGGAGAAGGUUUCUUUUCCUGUGUA